This 460-nucleotide ribosomal RNA is filed under the name uncultured bacterium. Its description in RNAcentral is "partial 16S ribosomal RNA". It matches the Rfam family "Bacterial small subunit ribosomal RNA", at positions 338 to 795 of the family's 1533-position model. The record is from RNAcentral.
CCUACGGGCGGCAGCAGUGAGGAAUAUUGGUCAAUGGACGAGAGUCUGAACCAGCCAAGUAGCGUGAAGGAUGAAUGCCCUAUGGGUUUUAAACUUCUUUUAUAUGGGAAUAAAAUGUUCCACGUGUGGGAUUUUGUAUGUACCAUAUGAAUACGGAUAGGCUCACUCCGUUCCAGCAGCCGCGGUAAUACGGAGGAUCCGAGCGUUAUCCGGAUUUAUUGGGUUUAAAGGGAGCGUAGGUGGAUUGUUAAGUCAGUUGUGAAAGUUUGCGGCUCAACCGUAAAAGUGCAGUUGAAACUGGCAGACUUGAGUACAGUAGAGGUGGGCGGAAUUCGUGGUGUAGCGGUGAAAUGCUUAGAUAUCACGAAGAACUCCGAUUGCGAAGGCAGCUCACUGGACUGCAACUGACACUGAGGCUCGAAAGUGUGGGUAUCAAACAGGAUUAGAUACCCCAGUAGUC